Molecule: ribosomal RNA, 502 nt
Filed under: Pantoea sp.
Lineage: Bacteria; Pseudomonadati; Pseudomonadota; Gammaproteobacteria; Enterobacterales; Erwiniaceae
Description: bacterial SSU rRNA
Rfam family: Bacterial small subunit ribosomal RNA
Source: RNAcentral
UGCAGUCGGACGGUAGCACAGAGGAGCUUGCUCCUCGGGUGACGAGUGGCGGACGGGUGAGUAAUGUCUGGGGAUCUGCCCGAUAGAGGGGGAUAACCACUGGAAACGGUGGCUAAUACCGCAUAACGUCGCAAGACCAAAGAGGGGGACCUUCGGGCCUCUCACUAUCGGAUGAACCCAGAUGGGAUUAGCUAGUAGGCGGGGUAACGGCCCACCUAGGCGACGAUCCCUAGCUGGUCUGAGAGGAUGACCAGCCACACUGGAACUGAGACACGGUCCAGACUCCUACGGGAGGCAGCAGUGGGGAAUAUUGCACAAUGGGCGCAAGCCUGAUGCAGCCAUGCCGCGUGUAUGAAGAAGGCCUUCGGGUUGUAAAGUACUUUCAGCGGGGAGGAAGGCGAUGUGGUUAAUAACCUUGUUGAUUGACGUUACCCGCAGAAGAAGCACCGGCUAACUCCGUGCCAGCAGCCGCGGUAAUACGGAGGGUGCAAGCGUUAAUCGG